CCAUUUGAUAGUUUAAUCAAGCAUUUACAAGAAUAUCCAGGAGGUUCUCCCGUUAAUUAUGCCUUCGCAGCCUCUCCCACGCGCGGCAACUCCCGUUCCCACCGGGCGCUGCAGAUAAAGGCCAGAGGCUCCUGGACGACGCUGACGUUCACAUGCCCCAGGUUUCCGUACUUGGAGAGCUGAGUGGGUGGAAUGCCUGGCCCAGAUGGUAAAGAAUAGAAGUGGAAAAAGCGUUUAAUGAAUUUAAUUAUGUGUCACAGGUAAAAGAACAAAAACAAAAAAACACUUAUUGGAAGUAACGAACACAGUUACCAUAUUUCAAUACAGUAAAAAUCACUUUGUGAUAUGGGACAGGCACCUAUGCGGUAAAGCCAGACUUUGAAAGUAAUGGAAACAGCACAGUGCAGGACGGAUGGAGAAAAAAAGCACCAGGAGAGCCUCAGCAGGCACUGGAUUCCCUGGACAGACCCAAGGAAAAGCUGGGGGAGCAGAGAGCAGCCACUCUGCUGGUGGGAUCACUGGCCCACUACCCUUUGGGAAAUUGUGCCUCCCACACCCCCUUCACAGGCAGAGAGAGAGGGGGCAUAGGGAAGGGAAGGUAAAUUCUAAAAAAUAUUUUUAAAACACCAUCUGUAAACAUUUAAUGUCAAUGGAAUCAUACAUUAUGUGGUUCUUUUGUGACUGGCUUCUUCCACUUAGCUAGAUAUAAACAUAAUGUAUGAUUCUGUUGAUAAGAAAUGUCCAGAAAGGGCAAAUCUACUGCAACAGAAAGGUUAGUGGCUGCCAGGGGCUAAGGGCAAGAUUGGGGAAUGACGACAAAUGAACACCGGGGAUCUUUCUAAAACUAGAUGGUAGUAACGGUUGCACACCUGUGUACACUUACUAAAAACCUUGAAUUUUACAAAUAGGUGAAUUAUUUAGUAUGUGAAUUAUGUCAAUAAAAUAGUUUUAAGAAUCUUUUCCCUUCUUUUACCUAAGGUCUGUGCCAUCUGAGCUGGAGGAAAAAGGACUUGGAGACAGCGAUUUAAAUAAGGAACGAGGUCUUCCAGGAAGACAGUGCAGAACUGGACGAAGAGCUCUUGCUCCCCACUGCUGAAGGCAGCCUCUUCGGCACGAUGGAAGGCCAAGAUUACUUUUGUUACCUAAGAGACAAGGGCACCAUCAAUCACCAGUUUUAUUACUAGUGCAGUUUCCAGUUCCAGUGGAGGAGCAUCAUGAAAUUAUACACAGAAUACAUUGCUUUUGGCUCCCAUGGGAGAUGGACCAGAACUAUGGUGGAUCCAGGAAGAUGAAGCAACACUAUAAAAGGCUUCUACUGAGUAAGGCCUCUGAAGUUUCACAAUGCUAGAACCACUAGAAAAUUGUAAAGGAGGAAAAAAUAGAGCUGGAAAAGAAGUUCCACAUACAAAUAACAGCCUAGCUGACAUUACAGGCAGGGUCACAGUGACAGAGUUAAGAACAUAAACUCUGGGGAAUUCCCUGGCAGUCCAGUGGUUAGAGCUCUGUGCUUUCACUGCCGAGGGCCCAGGUUCAAUCUCUGGUCACAAGCCAAGAGGCACGGCCAAACAAACAAACAAAUAAAUAACGAACAUAGACUCUGGUGCCAGACGUUCUCGGCUCAAACUCCAGCUGUGCCACUCACUGGUUCUAUGGCCUCUAAGUGAUUACUUAAGCACCCCACGCCCUCUGUGCCUGAGUUCCCUCAUCUAUAAAGUAGGGCCAGCAACAGGACCUAACCUCACAGGGUUGUAGAAUUAAGUUUUAAUAUGUGUAAAGUAUGAUAAAUUACGUGGCAUGAAGUAAGCUCUAGAUGAAUAUUAGCUAAUUACUAUUAUCUGAAUUGCACUGACCCUAAAAAGCUUUGUUGCUCAUGCUUCCUUGCUCUUUUUUUUUUUUUUUUUUGCGGUACGCGGGCCUCUCACUGUUGUGGCCUCUCCCAUUGCGGAGCACAGACUCCGGACGCGCAGGCUCAGCAGC
Aethalodelphis obliquidens (Pacific white-sided dolphin) is the source of this 1977-nucleotide long non-coding RNA. RefSeq lists it as uncharacterized. NCBI's taxonomy places the organism in Eukaryota, Metazoa, Chordata, Mammalia, Artiodactyla, Delphinidae. The record is from RefSeq and is a predicted model, not a curated record. The transcript has 3 exons.